UUUGGGUGGGGUGGGGAGGUCUGUGAAGUCACUUCACUUAUUUGAAAGUGCUUCCCAGGAGCCCAUUUCUGUGGGUAGUGUGUUGCUCAAACUUUUUGCACAUACCUGUUUAUUUUCAUUCCAGUCUUGUUACCUGCCUCUGGCAGGGUGUAUUCAGCAUAGUAUUUAUUUGUCUUAAGGACUGUUUUCAAGAAGAAUGCCUUCUUGUUUUAAAGCUCUGGUUUGGAGAGCAAGCCAUGGCAAUGCUAUCCUGUAAAGGUUUUGCAGUUUAGAUUGUAUCACUGCUCUGCCCUCUGCUUCCCACACUCUGGAGUCCAUGUUUUCUCAGGAAAACUUUUCUAUUCACUUGAAAAUUUGAGCUGCUUCUCCACAGCUUCCUGAGGUCGGUUUUGUUGUGCGCACAACCAAACCAUAGAUAAUUCCAACUGUGGCCAAACCUGGCCUCUGGGGAAGGGUGGUAUUAGCCUUGUGGUUGGUCUCUGCACCCUGCUGAUGACUACCCUUAAUUUUGAUAACUUUGACUGCCACGUCUUUGGGGAUCUGUGACCACCACCCAAGAUCUGGAAUAUAAUGGAUAGUUUGGCAGCAGUGUGUUUACUUGAGCAUUUUAUGAUACAGUUAGAAUAAAUAUUAGGAAGUGAUAGUGUACAAAGUUCUCUGCAGUUCUCUGUGAACUGAGUAAUACAGACAGACCUUGGGAAUCAAGAUGGGAAAGACGGCUGGCUGGUCAAAAACACAAUUGGAUUCUUGUUCCCUAAAAACUCUUGCCUUAUGUAAAUACAUUAUCUUCCUUUAAAAAAAAAAUCCACUUCUCCAACCUUCCAAGUCAAUCUUUAAGAAUGUG
This 844-nucleotide long non-coding RNA is filed under the name Marmota monax (woodchuck). Lineage: Eukaryota; Metazoa; Chordata; Mammalia; Rodentia; Sciuridae. The record is from RNAcentral.